CCCCCCCUGUUUCUACUGCAUCAAGGCUCAGAGAGCCAUUGCAUAUAAAUAGAUAACCUUGCAGCUGAACUGGUAUGGUUAUGCUGGGAGAAAAAUCAAAAGGCUGAUCACCAUUCCUGGGCCAAACAAUCUGUCACAUUUGGCAUGAAGACUAUCCAGAGAAAAUGAAGCCUGAACACUUGCUUUGCCUGUUGCUGAGCUGCUUUCCGCUACCCGAAGCUGCCUGUAAACCCUUGAAACCAGACUGCACUCUUGUCAAAUGUAGCCCAUGCCCUGACCAACACACAGCGGUGACUUCGGCGAAUACCUGCUGUGCUCCAUGUGCCCCUGCAUGUUCCUGUCCAGAUUACCAGCAAUUUGAAUGCGCCAUGCAAGGCUAUAAGGAUGGAAACGUCCCUGUGGGGAAAUCUUUCCACAUAGACUUUGCCACCCAACUCUGCACCUGUGUUUCUACAGGGAAUAUCUCCUGCACUUCAGUUUGUCCCACGGUUUCACCUACGUGCAAGGAGACCGGAAGCCCUCCUGAUGGCUGUCCCCAGUGUGUAUGUCCCAUUGACAAUGACAGAAUCGUAAUUGCUGGCAGCACCAUCCCCAGGGUCAGUGAGAUUUGUGUAUGUCCCCCUGAAGGAGGCAAACUACUUUGCACCCCAACCACACCUCAGCCCACUACAGUCUAACAAUGAAUAGGCUCUGUUCUCCAAGUAAGCUAAGUAUUGCAGGAGGGCCAAGCUUUUUGUUAUUAGACUAUAAGAGAACUUCUAAAAUAACUUUGGGCACCCUUAUGGAAAAUCCUAUAGAACGUACAAGAAAAUUAUUAUUAUUUUUUGCUAUUGGUGUUUGAAACUGUCCUAUAAAAUGGAAUAGUGACUUAUAGUCUUGCUGUGGAAUUACAUAGGGCUAAAAAAGAAAACAAAACUAUACAAAGGCAUGCCAUUCUCUAUUAAAUCUUGAAACCAGCUCCAAACAUUUAUAGUAAGGUUAUUAUUUUCUGUUAUGACCUAUAGGCAUUCUCCGUGAUGGUGUCCAGGAAAGUUUGAGUGACUGCUGAUAGAUCAUAAAUGUGUAAAAAAAAAGCAACUAUUUAUAUAUUUAUAAGAUGACUCUGUGUGUGUGUGUGUGUGUGUGUGUGUGUGUAUGGACGGACAGACGGACGGAUUGCAAUGCUUUUCAUUAAGACACAUUCCAAGCCUGUUUUCAGUUGCUUAACUUUGCCAAACUUUAAGCAUUUGGGUUAAAAUUUUCUAGACCAGCUGUCAGCCUCAGGCCUCAUAUAAUUUUUAAUCUUCAGCAUAAAUGUUUCAGCCCAGUCUCAGAAUGAGACGAGGGGCAAACGGUGUAUUUUCCCAUGUUAAAAAUCGUCUUAUAAUGGUCUGAGAAGCUUGUACACCUCCAUACUUUGGAACAUGGGGUUGCCAUUUGGCAGAGGGAUCACCCUGAUGUAAGAGCUGCGCCUUUUGCCUUCUUCCAUGAAAAUCUGCCCCAAUCUGGCCAAGUUAUGAGCCUCUGACAAUCUCAGUUUGCAGAUGAUAGUUAGAUUCUUUGAAGAUUUCGGUCUGUGCUGAGCACGCUUCAGCAUGGUCUGCAGGUGCUCUCUGAAAUUGCUGUUCCAAGGCUGUGGUUCCAGGGACCAGGACUGAGACCAGGGACAGUUUCCGAUGAAGUGAGCUGUAGCUCUCGAAAGCUUAUGCUCAAAUAAAUUGGUUAGUCUCUAAGGUGCCACAAGUCCUCCUUUCCUUGUACCAUAGGGAAGCUGAACUAAGGGUCCAUGGGUACCCUUCGUUCUGUCAUUUCCCAGUGUUUGAUGGUGCCACCUUAUCAUUCUUUGUGUUUUCUAUAUAAAUUUCCCUUCGUUUGCCCUGUGCCCAUGUACAGAAAUAAAGUAUCAGUUUCCAUCCAUUACUGUAUACCUCCUGGCAACACAAAUGACUGUUGGGUCUGCUGCAGCAAGCUUACUACAAGAAAUGUCUCUCCAAAUACGAGCACAGUUAUCCUACGUCCACCUCUGCCCUGCUUCCAACUACAAGAAAAAGGUCACAGCAUAAUUUUAUUUUAUAUAUAUAAACAUGACCGUACGCCACCUUCAGCAGGGAAUGAGCUGCAGGGAAAUUUGUAAUUGUUUCUUCUUUGAGUCCCAAUAAAAGCAAUUUUAAUGUUCA
Molecule: long non-coding RNA, 2156 nt
Organism: Caretta caretta (loggerhead turtle)
Lineage: Eukaryota; Metazoa; Chordata; Testudines; Cheloniidae
Source: RefSeq, a predicted model, not a curated record